Molecule: ribosomal RNA, 254 nt
Filed under: uncultured bacterium
Lineage: Bacteria
Description: partial 16S ribosomal RNA
Rfam family: Bacterial small subunit ribosomal RNA
Source: RNAcentral
GACGAACCGUGCGAACGUUAUUCGGAAUCACUGGGCUUAAAGCGCGUGUAGGCGGGCCGGCACGUCGGCUGCUGAAAGCCCCCGGCUCAACCGGGGAACGGGCACCGAUACGACCGGCCUGGAGGGGGGUAGGGGGAGCCGGAACUUCCGGUGGAGCGGUGAAAUGCGUUGAGAUCGGAAGGAACGCCCGUGGCGAAAGCGGGCUCCUGGACCCCGCCUGACGCUGAGACGCGAAAGCCAGGGGAGCGAACGGG